GACGAACGCUGGCGGCGUGCUUAACACAUGCAAGUCGAACGGAAAGGCCCUGCUUUUGUGGGGUGCUCGAGUGGCGAACGGGUGAGUAACACGUGAGUAACCUGCCCUUGACUUUGGGAUAACUUCAGGAAACUGGGGCUAAUACCGGAUAGGAGCUCCUGCUGCAUGGUGGGGGUUGGAAAGUUUCGGCGGUUGGGGAUGGACUCGCGGCUUAUCAGCUUGUUGGUGGGGUAGUGGCUUACCAAGGGUUUGACGGGUAGCCGGCCUGAGAGGGUGACCGGCCACAUUGGGACUGAGAUACGGCCCAGACUCCUACGGGAGGCAGCAGUGGGGAAUAUUGCACAAUGGGCGGAAGCCUGAUGCAGAAACGCCGCGUGCGGGAUGACGGCCUUCGGGUUGUAAACCGCUUUCGCCUGUGACGAAGCGUGAGUGACGGUAAUGGGUAAAGAAGCACCGGCUAACUACGUG
Molecule: ribosomal RNA, 468 nt
Filed under: uncultured bacterium
Lineage: Bacteria
Description: partial 16S ribosomal RNA
Rfam family: Bacterial small subunit ribosomal RNA
Source: RNAcentral